RNAcentral lists this transfer RNA (62 nucleotides) under Jonquetella anthropi. It matches the Rfam family "tRNA", at positions 6 to 65 of the family's 71-position model. From Rfam's summary of the family: Transfer RNA (tRNA) molecules are approximately 80 nucleotides in length. Their secondary structure includes four short double-helical elements and three loops (D, anti-codon, and T loops). Lineage: Bacteria; Thermotogati; Synergistota; Synergistia; Synergistales; Dethiosulfovibrionaceae. RNAcentral also lists the same sequence under 2 other names. The record is from RNAcentral.
GAUAGCUCAGUCGGCAGAGCGGGUGACUGUUAAUCACUAGGUCGCAGGUUCAAGUCCUGCUC